GAACGGCGAUACGUAAUGCGAAUCGCAGGCUUCAAGCGAGUCAUCGAGUCUUUGAACGCACAUUGCACCCGCCGGCCAAUCCGGCGGGUCUGGCCGUCCGAGCGUCAUUUGCACCACUCGGCGUCGCGAGCAAUCCCCCCAGGCCUCCCGGGCCCGGGGGAGGGCCGGCGCCGGCGUUGGGAUGGCUGCGGCGCUGCCCGCACCCCCGAAAUUCAGUGGGGCACCACCCGCGAGUACCGGGGCGCAGUAGGCUCCACGCGGCAAACCACGCCAGGGAAAGCGCGGCGCGGGCCAACCCGGAGGCAAAAAGUCUAAUACAGGUGUGACCUCGGAUCGGGCAGGGAUACCCGCUGAACUUAA
RNAcentral lists this unclassified non-coding RNA (360 nucleotides) under uncultured Aspergillus. RNAcentral describes it as "sequence contains ITS1". The stretch from base 1 to 107 matches the Rfam family "5.8S ribosomal RNA", at positions 50 to 154 of the family's 154-position model. The record is from RNAcentral. Lineage: Eukaryota; Fungi; Ascomycota; Eurotiomycetes; Eurotiales; Aspergillaceae.